GUUUGCUUCUCCCCAACAGUGCAGGAGGGUUCCCUUUCUCCGUAACUUUGCCAAUAUACACUGUUCAUCAUACCGAAAGCUAGUUGACAAUCUAAAUGUCCACCAAGUGAUGGCAUACCUACCGAAUGGAAUGUCAUGCCCGUUAGAAAGAAGAACCCAGCUCGACAAGGAAAGAUUUCCAAGUUCUUACAAGCUCUCCAAGUUUGGAAUGAGCGAGUCAAGGUCAUGCUGUAACUGUCACCCCCGCAACAGCAAAGACAAAAUCAAGUAGAGCCUGGUCGCCGGCGGUGGCCGUGUCACGGACGCCACAAAGAGGAAGCUGUCCCAGCUCCGAAAAGUCAGAAUCCUGGGGGUGGGCUUGGUUAGAUGAGGGUGUGCGAUUAGUGACAGGGUCUGAAUAUUAAGAAUAUUAACGUCCAGAAGACGGGGCAGGGACCAGGAGGAAGCUCCACUAAUCUGGGACAGCUGAUGCAUCAGAAAGCUCAAAGAUAAGUAAAACACUAACAGUCACCACCCUGAAUUUUCUUCUGACUGGCAAGAAUAUAUUUCAAAAGAAGACUGCUCCUGGGGCGUCUGGGUGGCUC
Molecule: long non-coding RNA, 584 nt
Organism: Neomonachus schauinslandi (Hawaiian monk seal)
Lineage: Eukaryota; Metazoa; Chordata; Mammalia; Carnivora; Phocidae
Exons: 3
Source: RefSeq, a predicted model, not a curated record